AUGAGAGAAAUCUUCCGGUUGCACGGGUUACCGCUGGCUUUGAUUUCCGACAGGGACCAAGUAUUUACUAGCAACGUUUGGCAGGAACUCUUCAAGUUGUGUCGAACGGAACUCCGAAUGAGCUCAUCUUAUCACCCGCAAACCGAUGGGCAGACCGAGCUGGUAAACCAGUGUCUUGAGACUUACCUUCGAUGCGCAGUUCAUGCCUGUCCAAAGAACUGGGCGAAGUGGUUGGCGCUGGCCGAAUUCUGGUAUAACACAUCCUUCCACUCAUCGCUGGGGAGAACCCCGUUUGAAGUUAUAUAUGGACACCUGCCGCAGAAUUUUGGAGUAGCUCAAAUAGAUGAAUGCACGGUGCCUGACUUGGCAGCCUGGCUCCGGGAAAGGGAAAUCAUGAUCGAACUUCUUCAGCAACAACUCAAGAAAGCUCAAGAUAGGAUGAAAGCGCAAGCCGAUCGGCACAGAACAGACAGAUCCUUCGAGGUGGGCGAUUUAGUCCUGCUUAAACUGCAACCGUUCAUACAGACUUCGAUUGCUCAGCGGCCAUUUCAGAAGCUAGCAUUCCGUUACUAUGGGCCAUACAAGAUACUGGCAAGGGUGGGAGCAGUCGCUUACAAGCUGGAUUUGCCGUCGACAAGCAAGAUCCAUCCAGUAGUCCAUGUAUCCCUCCUGAAGCGCGCGCAUGGCGCUGCAGUUCCAGUAAACUCUGAACUGCCUCCUGCUAACGAGAUUUUGCAGGCUGAACACGCAUCAAGAAGUGUACUCAGCAGCAAGCAGAUCCGAGUGGCGGGCGAAGAACACAUGCGCGUCCUGGUGCACUAG
RNAcentral lists this ribosomal RNA (822 nucleotides) under Triticum aestivum (bread wheat). Its description in RNAcentral is "partial small subunit ribosomal RNA". Lineage: Eukaryota; Viridiplantae; Streptophyta; Magnoliopsida; Poales; Poaceae. The record is from RNAcentral.